Molecule: transfer RNA, 87 nt
Filed under: Candidatus Bathyarchaeota archaeon
Lineage: Archaea; Thermoproteati; Candidatus Bathyarchaeota
Description: tRNA-Ile
Rfam family: tRNA
About the family: Transfer RNA (tRNA) molecules are approximately 80 nucleotides in length. Their secondary structure includes four short double-helical elements and three loops (D, anti-codon, and T loops).
Source: RNAcentral
GCAGCGGUGCCGGAGAAGAUAAACGGUUCCGGCUUAUGACUGGAUAGAACAGCCCGGUUCACGCGGGUUAGAAUCUCGCCCGCCGCG